UCUCCGUUUGCACGGGCAGUUCCACUAGAGUCCUCAGCAUAACCUGUUAGCAACUAAUGGUAGGGGUUGCGCUCGUUGCGGGGCUUAACCCAACACCUCACGACACGAGCUGACGACAGCCAUGCAGCACCUGUGUUCAGGUUCCCUUUCGGGCACCACCACAUCUCUGCGGUGUUCCUGACAUGUCAAGGGUAGGUAAGGUUUUUCGCGUUGCAUCGAAUUAAUCCACAUAAUCCACCGCUUGUGCGGGUCCCCGUCAAUUCCUUUGAGUUUUAACCUUGCGGCCGUACUCCCCAGGCGGUCGACUUCACGCGUUAGCUUCGUUACUGAGAGUGUCAAACCCCCAACAACCAGUCGACAUCGUUUAGGGCGUGGACUAC
RNAcentral lists this unclassified non-coding RNA (380 nucleotides) under uncultured Gammaproteobacteria bacterium. Its description in RNAcentral is "contains 16S-23S intergenic spacer region". Lineage: Bacteria; Pseudomonadati; Pseudomonadota; Gammaproteobacteria. The record is from RNAcentral.